This is a long non-coding RNA of Salmo salar (Atlantic salmon), 1157 nucleotides long. RefSeq lists it as uncharacterized. The record is from RefSeq and is a predicted model, not a curated record. NCBI's taxonomy places the organism in Eukaryota, Metazoa, Chordata, Actinopteri, Salmoniformes, Salmonidae.
GGUAGAAGAGUGUCGUUUUUUUAGUGAUAGUGAUACCAGAGAAUCAGACAGGGAUGGCAACAGUUUACCCAUCUCUUCUAUGGUGCGUGAUGCUGCUGGACUGCCGGCUGUGUUAGGGAGCCCCAGUGUUCCUGUCGGGCCAGGCAACAGACAGUGUGCUGAAGAGACAGCGGCGCCACAACACUGGGGUGUUCCAGGAUAUGUUAUUGGUGAACCUGGAGAGUGUGUGUCUGGAGGAAAGCUGUGACCUGGAGGAGGCCAGGGAGGCAUUCGAGAACGAUGAGAAAACAAUGAGGACCAGUGUAAGUCGCCCCCGUCUGAACCAGUCGUCCUGUGAUGACUAGCUGGGCUCCUACACUUGUACCGGUCUAUCAGGCUUCACGGGGAUGAACUGGGAGUAACAGCCAGGCAGUGUAAGGUGAAUAACGGAGAAUGUAUUCUGUGGCACCUAUGGGGCACAAUGUAGCUGUGCAGAGGGGCUACAAGCUGCCUCAGAAUGGAGUCAACUUUAAACCUGAAGAUUCUUCAAAGUAGCCACCCAUUGCCUCGAUGACAGCUUUGCACACUCUUGGCAUUCUCUCAACCAGCUUCAUGAGGUAGUCACCUGGAAUGCAUUUCAAUUAACAGGGGAGCAUAACAUCUAUGCCAAAGAGGGCACGGAGCAGGACCAUAAGGUUUUGAAGCAGUACAAAACACCCUCUACAACUCUUAGCGGAGUCUGUACAAUCAUGAUAAUCGCCCUGCUGCGCCUCCACACCCCCAUCCUCUUCUCCUCCCACGCCAGACCCAUCUUCCUGGGGCCCAAGGUAUUCACCGAAGACUUGGUGAAGGAUGAGUCCCCGGCUACAAUCAGCGGCUGGGGUCGCACACAUUACAGAAGGUAGAGGUGCCAUUUACAGAGAGGACGCAGUGUAAGGAUAGCAGUAGUGCCCGCAUCACCAAGUACGUAUUUCCGUGCCGGCUAUGCUGACGUGGCCAAAGACUUGCGCCGGGGGAGAGCGGAGGUCCCCAUACCAACCGUUACCAUGACACCUGGUUCCUGACUGGGAUUGUGAACUGGGGGGAGGAGUGUGCCAAGGAGGGGAAGUAUGGGGUGUACACCAGAGUGUACACCAGACUAGCAUUACUAUAGAUGGAUACGUCACGUUAUGGCGGUG